RNAcentral lists this ribosomal RNA (465 nucleotides) under Vreelandella stevensii. RNAcentral describes it as "partial 16S ribosomal RNA". It matches the Rfam family "Bacterial small subunit ribosomal RNA", at positions 338 to 795 of the family's 1533-position model. Lineage: Bacteria; Pseudomonadati; Pseudomonadota; Gammaproteobacteria; Oceanospirillales; Halomonadaceae. The record is from RNAcentral.
CCUACGGGGGGCAGCAGUGGGGAAUAUUGGACAAUGGGCGAAAGCCUGAUCCAGCCAUGCCGCGUGUGUGAAGCAGGCCUUCGGGUUGUAAAGCACUUUCAGUGGGGAAGAAAGCCUUGGGGCUAAUACCCUCGAGGAAGGACAUCACCCACAGAAGAAGCACCGGCUAACUCCGUGCCAGCAGCCGCGGUAAUACGGAGGGUGCGAGCGUUAAUCGGAAUUACUGGGCGUAAAGCGCGCGUAGGCGGUCUGAUAAGCCGGUUGUGAAAGCCCCGGGCUCAACCUGGGAACGGCAUCCGGAACUGUCAGGCUAGAGUGCAGGAGAGGAAGGUAGAAUUCCCGGUGUAGCGGUGACAUGCGUAGAGAUCGGGAGGAAUACCAGUGGCGAAGGCGGCCUUCUGGACUGACACUGACGCUGAGGUGCGAAAGCGUGGGUAGCAAACAGGAUUAGAUACCCCAGUAGUC